CUUUACAGGGCCAAGUGCACUGUAGUGCAAAUUGCAGCCUUAACUCCAGACAUGUUUGAUUUUUCUUACUCCAGCAGAGAUUGCCUUUGAGCAUGAAGUUGAUGCUUUGGAUCCAGAGAAGUUAAUACAAUGUCCAUAUGAUAAAUCUCAUCAAAUCAGGGCCUGUCGGUUUCCCUAUCAUCUUAUAAAGUGCAGGAAGAACCACCCUGAUAUUGCAAAGCAGCUAGCCACAUGCCCCUUUAAUGCCUGCCAUCUGGUUCCCAGAGAUGAGAUCAGCCAUCAUAUAUCAAGCUGUGAUGACAAAAGCUGCAUUGAGCAAGACAUUGUGAGUCAGUCGAAUAACUGCUACAGAGAGAAGAUGAACACUGUCAGCAUGUGGCAGCCGCCCCCAUGUGACGAAGACUGGGAUAAAGAUCUACAGGAGCAAUCAAAUUCUACGUUCGUUUGGGGCACGUUCAAUAGUGUCAUAAACAACAG
Molecule: long non-coding RNA, 477 nt
Organism: Emys orbicularis (European pond turtle)
Lineage: Eukaryota; Metazoa; Chordata; Testudines; Emydidae
Exons: 5
Source: RefSeq, a predicted model, not a curated record